RNAcentral lists this ribosomal RNA (253 nucleotides) under uncultured bacterium. Its description in RNAcentral is "partial 16S ribosomal RNA". It matches the Rfam family "Bacterial small subunit ribosomal RNA", at positions 524 to 776 of the family's 1533-position model. The record is from RNAcentral.
UACGAAGGGAGCUAGCGUUGUUCGGAAUUACUGGGCGUAAAGGGCGCGUAGGCGGCUUCAACAGUUGGGCGUGAAAUGCCUGGGCUUAACCCAGGAAUUGCGCUCAAUACUGCGAGGCUUGAGUGUGGGAGAGGAUAGUGGAAUUCCCAGUGUAGAGGUGAAAUGCGUAGAUAUCUGGAGGAACACCGGUGGCGAAGGCGGCAUCCUGGCCUGUUCUUGACGCUGAGGCGCGAAAGCUAGGGGAGCAAACGGG